This is a long non-coding RNA of Lycium barbarum (goji berry), 928 nucleotides long. RefSeq lists it as uncharacterized. The transcript is spliced from 4 exons. The record is from RefSeq and is a predicted model, not a curated record. NCBI's taxonomy places the organism in Eukaryota, Viridiplantae, Streptophyta, Magnoliopsida, Solanales, Solanaceae.
AGAGAGAGAGGCAUUUCCUCUUCAACCACAAAUCUGAACCAAAGAGAGAGAGAGAGCCACGGCCAUAGCCAUGGCAGCAGCCCCUUCAUUAAGCUCACGGCCAGCUCCUCUUCUCCCCCCCUUCUACACAAUUAAGUUGAUGAUUUCCAAGUCCAAUUAGAGGAAGAAAACAAGGAUUACAACAGCCAUGGCAACUCACGGCCAUGGCAGAUUUUUUUUGGAACAACUUAAGCUUCUAAAGUGUCCUAAUUUAAUUUGAGGUUGAAGUGCCAAUCGAGACGAGUUAAAUUAUUGAAUUGGUACAGACGACAAAUGGGUUGUACGGAGAUUUGAAACUUUCCAGAGUAUGCUGUGUUGUGGCGCCAGUGUCGGAGUGGCAACCACGUUCCUGAGCCUUAUGCAUGAUUUCUUCACUUGCAUUAUGUACAUAUGAUUUCCGUACCGGUUUUGAUAUACUGAUUUGGUACAGACGUUUGUUUUCUGGUGACUCGCCCAUGUAGGAUACAUUCUGCUACUUUGGGGUGCUCCUUUGACUCGGAGCCCACACUUUUGGUAAAGACCUUUCAUUGUAUAUGUCUCUGUAUAUGUAUGUAUGACUAUCUGGGGUACGGUGGGGCCCUGUCCCGUCAUAUGUUCUGUUAUGGUUUGUAGAGGCCUGUAGUCAUAUAUGUGGGUCAUGGGUCGUGUUUGUUCGAUUAUGUUUGUGACUUGUGCCUUAAGCGGUCCCGGUUGUUGUUAUGGCCAAAAUGGCCCAUAUGUUUAUAUAUGUUUGUAUAUCUGGGCGAUGUGUAUUCCGCCAACCUUCCGGAUUUGAUAUGAUGUUUCUGUACGGGCGACCGCUUAAGAUGAUAUGUGUUUUCAGUAUCUGUUUAAAAUGACGGAUGAUAAGUUUGAAUAAACCUUUGAUAUGUCGAUCUGGUACGUAAGU